Molecule: ribosomal RNA, 504 nt
Filed under: uncultured bacterium
Lineage: Bacteria
Description: bacterial SSU rRNA
Rfam family: Bacterial small subunit ribosomal RNA
Source: RNAcentral
AGUGGCGUACGGGUGAGUAACACGUGACUAACCUACCCUCGAGUGGGGAAUAACCUCGGGUAACCGGAGCUAACACCGCAUAACAUCUAUGGAUCAAAUGCGCAAGCAGCUUGAGGAGGGGGUCGCGGCUGAUUAGCUAGUUGGCGGGGUAAUGGCCCACCAAGGCAGUGAUCAGUAGCCGGCCUGAGAGGGCGCACGGCCACACUGGAACUGAAACACGGUCCAGACUCCUACGGGAGGCAGCAGUGGGGAAUUUUGCGCAAUGGGGGAGACCCUGACGCAGCAACGCCGCGUGGAGGAUGAAGCCCCUUGGGGUGUAAACUCCUUUCGAUCGGGACGAUUAUGACGGUACCGGAUGAAGAAGCACCGGCUAACUCUGUGCCAGCAGCCGCGGUAAUACAGAGGGUGCAAGCGUUGUUCGGAAUUAUUGGGCGUAAAGGGUGCGUAGGCGGUGCGGUAAGUCUUCUGUGAAACCUCCGGGCUUAACUCGGAGCCUGCAGAGGA